GCUAAAUCCUGUUUAUUUUUCGUGCUUUCUGCAAAAAUUUUCCUCGUAUGAGUACUCCUUCGUUCCCCUUUACCGUCUCCCCGCGCGAUCGCUCAGAAAAAGCGAGUCUACUGUCUAACGUGUCGCUAUGUUCCGCCGGAACGCGCUAUUGUAUACGGUGUGUGUUGUGUACGCCAGAUAAUUUUACCACUGCGAUAAUUGUAUUUUUCAUCGAAAUCUCCCGAGUGUGGCUUUUCAGAUCGACCUCGAUACCGAUGCAGCAACAUACAGCCAAGGAUGACAACAGUGACAAGUGUUGCUGCUCGUCGCCUCGUUCAGAAGUGAUAUCAACUUCGAAGUCUACUGAAAACUUGAUAGCAGAAGUGAAGGAGAGCACCACGCAACAUGAGAACAAUGUUAACGAGUCACAGAACACGACUGCAACUACCUCGGAAGAACCACCCACAGAAAAUGUAGACUUCAAAGUGAUCUACAACAAGCAGAAAAUUAGUGUGAAUUUUCCCUUAGAUGGUACUGUUGCCGACCUAAAGACACACUUGCAGAAAAUUAUCUCAGUACCACAGGCAAUGCAAAAGGUCAUGUUCAAAGGAUUAGCCAAAGAUGAUCAGACUCUUAGGAAUUUGGGAGUAACAAAAGGUGCCAAAGUCAUGAUAGUUGGAUCAAAGUUAGAUGAUGUAUUAGCUGUGUCAAUUCCAACUAAACAAGAGCUCAAUGAUGAAGCUGUUUCUUCAGCGAGUAAGGAACCCCUUUCACAACAAAAGAUACAUAGGAAAGUUUUAGACAAAGGUAUUCCGGAGGAUGUAAUGCCAGGAAUAUUAGAUAGCAAGGAACCUUUACCCGAAUUUCCACUGGCGGGGAUGUUAAAUAAAUCCGGAGGGAAGGUGAGAUUAACGUUUAAAUUGGAGCAAGAUCAACUGUGGAUCGGCACGAAGGAAAGAACAGACAAAAUACCCAUGAAUUCUAUAAAAGGUGUCCACAGCGAACCGAUUCACGAUCAUCCCGAAUAUCAUAUUAUGGCAAUACAAUUAGGCACUACAGAAGCAUCGAGAUACUGGAUAUAUUGGGUCCCUGCGCAAUACAUAUCCGCUAUUAAAGACGCUAUUCUUGGCAAGUGGUGUUACUUCUGAUUGAUAGUCGAUGGAAAUUUCUAUUUCUGUAAAAGCAAAGUUUAAUCAGAUGUAAACUUAAACACAAACACGACUGUACUAGUCACACAUAUUUCUCUAACACUACAGUACUUUGUAUCACCGUCAGAUAGAGUUAUGACCAAUGUCUACAUUGAAGAAAAAAAAAAAACAGAAAAAGAAGACAAAAAGAAAAAAUGUCGACAAGCUUAGAUUUCAAUGUGAUUGCGUCGACUUGACGGAGGAGUAACAACGAAUUUCACGCUAAAUAAAAUUAGAAAAUCCACUCAGUCGCGAUUGGCCUACAGUGACGCGAAUUAAGGACUCUCGAGAGAACUAAGUUAAAUCGAUUUUCAUCGCUAUUUCACGAUUUGUAAGAACUCUAUGCUGUAAGAAAAAGACUUGCGUAUGUGCUCUUUAGUACUGUAACUGUAAAUUAGGUUUUAUACCGUCUAAUACGAACCGUCUAACAGCGUGAAUAAGAUAAUAACAAAUCAAAAUUUACUACAAAAUGAUAUUACCCUGCAGUUAACGACUGUCCGUGUGAGUCGAAAAAAAAAGAUCUACUUCGGAGGUCGGUUCGAAUGGGACUUGUACAUUAUGUUGUGUGAUUUGAUAAAAUAAAUACUUCUGAGACUUU
Odontomachus brunneus is the source of this 1764-nucleotide RNA transcript. It is a transcript of the gene named ubiquitin domain-containing protein UBFD1-like, with no coding region annotated. NCBI's taxonomy places the organism in Eukaryota, Metazoa, Arthropoda, Insecta, Hymenoptera, Formicidae. The record is from RefSeq and is a predicted model, not a curated record. The transcript is spliced from 6 exons.